RNAcentral lists this ribosomal RNA (109 nucleotides) under Paradiophrys irmgard. RNAcentral describes it as "5.8S ribosomal RNA". It matches the Rfam family "5.8S ribosomal RNA", at positions 1 to 108 of the family's 154-position model. Rfam says of the family: 5.8S ribosomal RNA (5.8S rRNA) is a component of the large subunit of the eukaryotic ribosome. It is transcribed by RNA polymerase I as part of the 45S precursor that also contains 18S and 28S rRNA. Functionally, it is thought that 5.8S rRNA may be involved in ribosome translocation. The record is from RNAcentral. RNAcentral also lists the same sequence under 1 other name. Lineage: Eukaryota; Ciliophora; Spirotrichea; Euplotida; Uronychiidae.
CUAAAUUCUCAACGGUGGAUAUCUUGGCUCCCGUUACGAUGAAGAACGCAGCGAAGUGCGAUAAGCAAUGCGAAUUGCAGAACCGUGAAUCAUUAGAAUUUUGAACGCA